This 535-nucleotide long non-coding RNA is filed under the name Mytilus galloprovincialis (Mediterranean mussel). The record is from RNAcentral. Lineage: Eukaryota; Metazoa; Mollusca; Bivalvia; Mytilida; Mytilidae.
GGCCAUGUUUUUUGACGGAUCAAAAAUCGAAGCGCACAUUUUGUGCAGGAUAUACUAAGGAACAAUCAUGUUAAGUUUCAUUCAAAUCCAUUCAGUAGUUUCAGAGGAGAAGAUGUUUGAAAAAUUGUUAACGACGACAGACGACGACGACGACGGACGCCAAGUGAUGAGAAAAGCUCACAUGGCCUUUUAGGCCAGGUGAGCUAAUAAAAAUGACAAAAUUGGUGUCAUAUUUAUAUAUUUGUUCAUUUUCUGUCAAAGUCUAAAUCUACCGUGAUUUCUAUACUCGCUCUCCUUUUUAAAGCAAUUCCUUAUGUACUUAGAUUCGAAAUGUGGUUUGCAUUUUUUUUUAAAUUAUAACUGUGUAGAUGUAUGUUCAGUAUGUGGUUGAAGUUUUAAUAUAUCAAUAACUUUGUCAAACCAUCGUAUGAUUUUACGAUAGCGGUUUAUGGUCAAAAGAGUAUAUGACGAAAUUAUAUAUGAUGAAUUUUCCCGUAAUUCAUGGAUUUUUAAAAGGAAUUUCUUGAAAUAUUUA